GAUGAACGCUGGCGGCGUGCCUAAUACAUGCAAGUCGAACGAAACUUCUUUAUCACCGAGUGCUUGCACUCACCGAUAAAGAGUUGAGUGGCGAACGGGUGAGUAACACGUGGGCAACCUGCCCAAAAGAGGGGGAUAACACUUGGAAACAGGUGCUAAUACCGCAUAACCAUAGUUACCGCAUGGUAACUAUGUAAAAGGUGGCUAUACUACCGCUUUUGGAUGGGCCCGCGGCGCAUUAGCUAGUUGGUAGGGUAAAGGCUUACCAAGGCAAUGAUGCGUAGCCGAAUUGAGAGGUGGAGCGGCCACAUUGGGACUGAGACACGGCCCAAACUCCUACGGGAGGCAGCAGUAGGGAAUCUUCCACAAUGGGCGAAAGCCUGAUGGAGCAACGCCGCGUGGGUGAAGAAGGUCUUCGGAUCGUAAAACCCUGUUGUUAGAGAAGAAAGUGCGUGAGAGUAACUGUUCACGUUUCGACGGUAUCUAACCAGAAAGCCACGGCUAACUACGUG
Molecule: ribosomal RNA, 512 nt
Filed under: uncultured bacterium
Lineage: Bacteria
Description: partial 16S ribosomal RNA
Rfam family: Bacterial small subunit ribosomal RNA
Source: RNAcentral